This is a long non-coding RNA of Dalotia coriaria, 2388 nucleotides long. RefSeq lists it as uncharacterized. The record is from RefSeq and is a predicted model, not a curated record. The transcript is spliced from 3 exons. Lineage: Eukaryota; Metazoa; Arthropoda; Insecta; Coleoptera; Staphylinidae.
UACAACAUUUGUAUAAAAUAUUGUUCCUAAGAAUAUAUCCCUCGGCCUGACUGCACGCUACGGCACCUAAAAGUUUACUGACCCCAUUGUCCUUUUCUUGUGCGCUUCUUAGACGUGCAAUUAGCCCGUCCUCACUCUCAGUAACAAACAUAAUGCUCGAUAAGGGAUUUCUGCUUAACCCGUCAACAUGUUGCAUAUUUUUGCCUGGCCGAUGGCACAUUUGAUACUUAAAAUCACCCAGCAAUAAGGCCCAUCUGGCCACACGCAAACACAAAUCUUUCUUUUUCAUUGUCAUAGCAAAUGCUUUACAAUCAGUGACAAUGGUGAACGGUAUCCCUAACAAGUACUCUCUAAACUUAACUAAAGCUCGUAUUUUCGCUAGUACCUCCAACUCAUAACUUGUAUACUUCGCUUCUGCAGGUGUUGUCUUUCCACUAGCAUAAUAAACUGGAUGGAAUUUUAGGUCAUCUGGGUCUAAUUGCCUCAAAAUGGCGUCUAUGGACGCAUCUGUAUGCAAUUAAGUCUCUGCCUCUAAUCUGUAUAGUUUUAGUACGGGCCCAUCGGUAAGUACUGCUUUCAAAGUUUCGGAUGCUUCUGUCUCUUGUUCCCCAAAAUAAAACUUUAUAUCUUUUUUCAAGGGGUCUGUCAACGGCUUGGCUAUCUUCUCGUAACCCCUAAUAAAUUUUCUGAAAUACCCCGUAAGGCCCAAAAGCUUUGAAUCUUUAUGACCGACGUCAGCUUGGGCUAAAUUUUGAACGGCCUUAGUUUUAUGGUCUGACGACUUUAUCGUAUUUUUUGAAACUAUAUGACCUAGGUAUUUAGUCUCCUUCAACAUAAAACGACAUUUCUCCCAAUUCCUAAAUGACCCUUGUUCUGCAGCUAAUUUCAUAACCAUCAAUAAACGAUCCCAUGCUUCCUUCGAAUUCUUUGCUAGGAUAAAAAUAUCAUCCAUCUAAAGAAUAAGAAUACUAUUGUCAAUAAACUCUUUGAAAAAUGUAGUUAUAUAUUUUCGAAAGACUGUUGGCGAUAUUUUUUAACCAAAUGGUAAUUUCAUAAAUUCGUACCGUCCCGGCGGCGUAACAAAAGAGGUAUAUUUACGUCUUUCCUCAUCUAACGAAACGUAGAAAACUCCAUUAUUUAAAUAUAACUUUGCGAAAUACAUAGGUAUUGAAAAAUGCAGACAUUCAAUGGGUUCGUUAAGCUCAUGGAAGUCAACACAGAUUGUAACGUCUUUUUUCCUAACUCUAACUAUAGGACUCGCAUACAAUUUCCGCGGUUAUCCCUAUGUCUCGUGUCUUUUCCGGCUUGUAACCUUUGAUAAUAUCGCGGAUCGUUUCUCGAUAAUGCGGUUCUUCUAAGUGUGAUAAAUCUAUUCCAGCGGUCUGCUCUACUGUAUUUAGCCGAAAUAUAUUCGGCGUGAUUUUGCGACCGUUUGUCUGCCCUUCAAGUCGUAUAAACGGUUACCUCUCCCCGUUUGAAUCGCAACUCUACUUGAUCCAAGAAAUCAGUACCCAACAAUAGGCUAUGUUUUGACAAAACUUUGUUUGACACGGCAUUCAAGGUUACUGGAAAAUCGUGCCCAUCGACAUUCAUAAUUUUCUCGAAUUUACCCCAAGUUUCAUUGCCAGUGGAACCAACCCGUCUAAUUGAAGCCUACGACUACCUUAAGGUGGUGAUCUUACCCUAGCAUACUCAUCCGAUCUUAUAAAGGUUGUGUGCGUAGCCGUCUUGAAGUGCGAUGGAUGUGUGGAUAUGUGGAGAUUAUAGAGGCGUAAAUUCUAUAAUUCCUGCAAGGACUUGCACGAUCAUUGAUGCAGCACAAAGUCGUUGGAGUUGUAUGGAUAGGUGAAGACCACAAGGAAAGAGACACCGAAGAUUUGAUGCUACCACUUGUGAUGCUUCUUAACAACUGCUUUCUUGUUUGCAUUUGCUUCUAUUUAAUACAUUUUACCCUAAUACGUCAUGUACAUAGGUCCAAGUAGUGACGUACGUCUGCUAAUGAUUGAAACCUAAGUACAACCGAUUAGCAGACGCAAAUCUAUAUAUAUAUAUAUAAAACAAAGUCGUGUUAGUUACCAUGCUUAUAACUAAAGAACGACUAAUCCAAUUUAGCUAAAAAUUGGUGGAGAGGUAGCUUAGGGCCAGGAGAAGCUUCCCCACUCAACAUGCAGCGACCAAAACGAUCAAAUCUUAUCCGACAAAACCGUAAUGCAACUAGGAUUCGAAGGAUUGCGAAUGAAAGGACUGAAGAAGAACAAAAAAUUGCACGUGAAAAGCGCCGUGUUAGUAUGACUCGACUUCGUGCUUCUCAAUCACAAGAGCAAAGCGAGGCGGAACAAAGUUUGCCGGGUCAGCUAGUAAGAUAUAAGAAGAAUACGUCAUUUGGAA